AGAGACAGACAGACAGAGAGACAGACAGACAGACAUGCAUGCUGUGAGUGUGGGGGCAGGUGGCCCUGAGCGGCAGAACAGUCAGGAGCCUGUUUGAAACCACCAAGAAGCUUCCCCAACCCAAAGCAAUCUCCUCUCCUGGCCUGUCCUGGCACCUGAAAUUCCUACCAUUCAAGUCAUUUUUUUGGAUUAAGAUAUUGCAUCUUAAAAGAGCUCCCUAUUAAGUGUGAAUACAUGUGGCUUGGCAGGUGGCCCAUCCACGUCUCUCACGCUGGUCUCUUUGUGAGGCUCUCUUACAAAUAAACCGUGCGCGCAAAAGGAUGAUCCUCGGUGGGUGGGACCUGAGAUGGGUGGGUUUUGAGAUGAGCACAGUUUCUAGCAUGAAGCAAUUCCAGAGAAGGGCGAGCCCAGAAGGGAUUCUCCUCUGGGGAAGCAUGGCCGGGAUAGACUGGAAUCCGUUCCUGUGAGAGGGCGGAAGAAAAUCCCGAACCAGAGGAGGCCCAGAAGCUCCUGGGUCUCCUGCAGUCCCGUUUGCUCUGCCCACUUCCCGGGGGUGGGGGGAGCCUGACCUGCUUUGGCGUCUUCAGGAUGCUGCCCCGGAAGCCGUGGAAGAUGUAGAUGGCUCCCGCGUGGUUGUCCUCUAGGGGGGCUCCCACCACCACAUCAUCGAAGGAAUCCUGAUUGAGAUCUCGAACCGAGGCGAUGGAGGACCCAAAUCGGGCAUUCUGCUACCCAUGUCAAAGCAGAGGUUGGGGGCCCCUGAGAAGCUGCCCGGGCCCCGCCCAGCCAUACCUGUCUCAGCUCAUAGACGUACACCUUGCCUCGUUCGCGGCCCUCGCUGAAGUACAUGGGUGCGCCCACGAGCAG
This is a non-coding RNA of Callithrix jacchus (white-tufted-ear marmoset), 867 nucleotides long. NCBI's taxonomy places the organism in Eukaryota, Metazoa, Chordata, Mammalia, Primates, Cebidae. The record is from RefSeq and is a predicted model, not a curated record.